AACGCUAGCUACAGGCUUAACACAUGCAAGUCGAGGGGCAGCACUAGGUAGCAAUACUGAGGUGGCGACCGGCGCACGGGUGCGUAACGCGUAUCCAACCUUCCCGUUACUCUUGGAUAGCCUUCCGAAAGGGAGAUUAAUACAAGAUGGUAUUCAAAUUCCGCAUGUUAUUUGAAUUAAAGAUUUAUCGGUAACGGAUGGGGAUGCGUGACAUUAGAUAGUAGGCGGGGUAACGGCCCACCUAGUCUACGAUGUCUAGGGGUUCUGAGAGGAAGGUCCCCCACACUGGAACUGAGACACGGUCCAGACUCCUACGGGAGGCAGCAGUGAGGAAUAUUGGUCAAUGGUCGGAAGACUGAACCAGCCAAGUAGCGUGAAGGAUGAAGGUUCUAUGGAUUGUAAACUUCUUUUAUACGGGAAUAAAACACCUUACGUGUAGGGUCUUGUAUGUACCGUAUGAAUAAGCAUCGGCUAACUCCGUGCCAGCAGCCGCGGUAAUACGGAGGAUCCAAGCGUUAUCCGGAUUUAUUGGGUUUAAAGGGAGCGUAGAUGGAUUUUUAAGUCAGUUGUGAAAGUUCGGGGCUCAACCCCGUAAUUGCAGUUGAUACUGGAUAUCUUGAGUACAGUUGAGGUAGGCGGAAUUCGUGGUGUAGCGGUGAAAUGCUUAGAUAUCACGAAGAACUCCGAUUG
RNAcentral lists this ribosomal RNA (690 nucleotides) under uncultured bacterium. Its description in RNAcentral is "bacterial SSU rRNA". It matches the Rfam family "Bacterial small subunit ribosomal RNA", at positions 32 to 715 of the family's 1533-position model. The record is from RNAcentral.